AUUACCGCGGCUGCUGGCACAGAGUUAGCCGGGGCUUCUUCCUGCGGUACCGUCAGCCCGCCGGCUUAUUCAUCCGACGGGGAUUCGUUCCGCUCGAAAGGAGUUUACAACCCGAAAGCCUUCAUCCUCCACGCGGCGUCGCUGCGUCAGGCUUUCGCCCAUUGCGCAAUAUUCCUCACUGCUGCCUCCCGUAGG
Molecule: ribosomal RNA, 195 nt
Filed under: uncultured Banisveld landfill bacterium BVC61
Lineage: Bacteria
Description: partial 16S ribosomal RNA
Source: RNAcentral